Molecule: ribosomal RNA, 491 nt
Filed under: uncultured bacterium
Lineage: Bacteria
Description: partial 16S ribosomal RNA
Rfam family: Bacterial small subunit ribosomal RNA
Source: RNAcentral
GAUGAACGCUAGCUACAGGCUUAACACAUGCAAGUCGCGCGGCAGCAUGGGGGUUGCUUGCAACCCCUGAUGGCGACCCGCGCACGGGUCAGUAACGCGUACCCAACCUGCCCUUCACCUCGGGUUAACCCGGCGAAAGUCGUACUACUACCGUGUGUUUUCUAUUUACGGCAUCUUGUUUGGUCUCAGCGCUUGGCGAUGGACGGAUGGGGUUUCGUCCGAUUAGCUUGACGGCGGGGUACCGGCCCAUCGUGGCGAAGAUCGGUAGGGGUUCGGAGAGGAAGGUCCACAAGACGGGAACUGGGACACGGGGCAGACUCCUACGGGAGGAAGGAGUGAGGAAGAUUGGGCAAUGGGCGUAAGCCUGAAACAGCCAAGUAGCGUGCAGGAGGACGGCCCUAUGGGUUGUAAACUGCUGUUAUGCGGGGAUAAAGUGGCACACGUGUGGGCUUUUGCAGGUACCGCAUGAAUAAGGACCGGCUAAUUCCGUG